UCUGAUAAUAUGUCAGAGAAAGGAUGAUCUGCUUCAGGUGAUCCUGGAUCACAGAGCCAUGACCAUCUCAAUGGUUGGAUGUCAGGAGCAGAAUAUGUCAAUGACUAGCAGACAGGAAAUCUUUUCAUGCCAUCCGUAGAACAAUAAAGGAAGCCAAAUGGAA
Symphalangus syndactylus (siamang) is the source of this 163-nucleotide long non-coding RNA. RefSeq lists it as uncharacterized. The record is from RefSeq and is a predicted model, not a curated record. NCBI's taxonomy places the organism in Eukaryota, Metazoa, Chordata, Mammalia, Primates, Hylobatidae.